UGGGGGAUAUUGCACAAUGGGCGCAAGCCUGAUGCAGCGACGCCGCGUGGGGGAUGAAGGCCUUCGGGUUGUAAACUUCUUUUGCUCUGAACAAGGCGCACUUUGGGGUGUGUUGAGUGUAGGGGUUGAUUAGCGCCGGCUAACUACGUGCCAGCAGCCGCGGUAAUACGUAGGGCGCGAGCGUUGUCCGGAAUUAUUGGGCGUAAAGGGCUUGUAGGUGGCUGGUUGCGUCUGUCGUGAAAGCUCAUGGCUUAACUGUGGGUUUGCGGUGGGUACGGGCUGGCUUGAGUGCAGUAGGUGAGGCUGGAAUUCCUGGUGUAGCGGUGGAAUGCGCAGAUAUCAGGAGGAAUACCGGUGGCGAAGGCGGGUCUCUGGGCUGUUACUGACACUGAGGAGCGAAAGCAUGGGGAGCGAACAGG
RNAcentral lists this ribosomal RNA (419 nucleotides) under bacterium. RNAcentral describes it as "partial 16S ribosomal RNA". It matches the Rfam family "Bacterial small subunit ribosomal RNA", at positions 355 to 776 of the family's 1533-position model. The record is from RNAcentral.